GGAUUUGAGGGCGAUCUGGCUGCGACAUCUGUCACCCCAUUGAUCGCCAGGGUUGAUUCGGCUGAUCUGGCUGGCUAGGCGGGUGUCCCCUUCCUCCCUCACCGCUCCAUGUGCGUCCCUCCCAAAGCUGCGCGCUCGGUGGAAGAGGACGACCAUCCCAGAUAGAAGGAGUGUACCGUUCUUCGGUCAAGGGUAUACGAUAGCUGCGCUCCCCUGCUAGAACCUCCAAACAAGCUCAAGCUGAGAAAAGAUGCAUUCCCGUUUACACUGUCCUCUCAUUAAUUUAAAAACGAGAUCAUGUCUCUAAUACAGU
Podarcis lilfordi (Lilford's wall lizard) is the source of this 313-nucleotide non-coding RNA. NCBI's taxonomy places the organism in Eukaryota, Metazoa, Chordata, Lepidosauria, Squamata, Lacertidae. The record is from the annotation of a GenBank genome assembly.